CCAAUAGCGUAUAUUAAAGUUGCUGCAGUUAAAAAGCUCGUAGUUGAAUUUCGGGGUCAGCAGGUCGGUCGUGCCACUGGUAUGUACUGGUCUUGCUGAUUCCUCCCUCUUGACGAACCGUAAUGCCAUUAAUUUGGUGUUGCGGGAAAUCAGGACUGUUACUUUGAAAAAAUUAGAGUGUUUAAAGCAGGCUUAAGCUUGAAUACAUUAGCAUGGAAUAAUGAAAUAGGACGUUCGAUCCUAUUUUGUUGGUUUCUAGGAUUGACGUAAUGAUUAAUAGGGAUAGUUGGGGGCAUUAGUAUUCAAUUGUCAGAGGUGAAAUUCUUGGAUUUAUUGAAGACUGACUACUGCGAAAGCAUUUGCCAAGGAUGUUUUUAUUAAUCAAGAACGAAAGUUAGGGGAUCGAAGACGGUCAGAUACCGUCGUAGUCUUAACCAUAAACUAUGCCGACUAGGGAUCGGAUGAUGUUAAUUUUUUAAUGACUCAUUCGGCGCCUUACG
RNAcentral lists this ribosomal RNA (500 nucleotides) under uncultured Glomeromycotina. RNAcentral's name for it is "partial small subunit ribosomal RNA". It matches the Rfam family "Eukaryotic small subunit ribosomal RNA", at positions 591 to 1092 of the family's 1831-position model. The record is from RNAcentral. Lineage: Eukaryota; Fungi; Glomeromycota.